CAGAGGUGGGUGUGCCUCCUCCAACGCAAUGUGUCCACUGGGCCAUGAACCACACACCUAUCACACACCUGCCGUUUGCAAGACGGAGGUAGGGGAGGGGCCUGGCAGCAGGGAGUCAGGUCUCAUCCCUGACAACGGGGAAACUUGACCUCCAGGCACCAGCAAAAAGCCAGGGGCUUGAGCUUACUUCACUGUCCCGGUCCAGAGCUGGGCCAGCUGCGCCCUGCCCACACCCACAGGCUGCACGAGUUACUUUCCAGUCACACCCACCCCUCCCGCAGCCUGCACGAACCCCGUAACUUUCCCAACCCGGGAAGCAACUGCGCUUUGAUGGAAGGCACAGAGUCUAUUUCAGGUUCUGCACCUGCAAAUCUGUCUACUCACUGAAAUCGAUUUGUAAACGUAAAACCAGUACCUGCUUAGCUACCGUCUGCAUCUCUUGAAAAUGAAAUAAAAUAAGAUCAAUACUUCCUGCCGAGGUGACGUGUCCUGUGGAGAAAACCCGUGUUUGGAAAGGCUCGUACAUGCAUGAGUAGCUGUGCUCUUGGCCGGGAGUUCAGUGACGUAUGUUAACAGAAACACACAAAUAAGCCAUUGUGUACGGAUUGGUAGCUAAAAAGGCUGGACCAGAGGCUUGUAGGAACCUGGCCCUCUAUUUCCCCUGGGAGCAGAGGAGGUCCAGCAUUCGCUGAGUCGGUGUUUGCAGCCGCACCACGGAGCGCAGGACACGCUGUCACAGAGAGAGCUGCUGCAUGGCCUGCAGGAGGUGCCCGGAGCUUCGGCCUUCUGCACACUGAGUUUCACUUUCAUGGAAACCCACGUAACUACCUCCCCCCUCAGUAGACUAUGGAACACUUCCGGGGCCCAGAAAGUUCCACGGCAUAGCCCCCUCCGUGGGCACCCCCCAGAGCUAACGGCUGUUCUCAUCUCUGCCACCAGAGACCUGUCAUCCUGGGAUUGCAUGAACUGUCAGCCUUGUGCCUGGCUGCUUCUGCUCCACAGUCUCUGAGAUUCAUCCACACGGCACGGUGGCUCACGACUGUAAUCCCAGCACUUUGGGAGGCCAAGGAGGGUGGACCGCUUGAGCCCAGGAGUUCAAGACCAGCCUGGCCAACAUGGGGAAACCCAGUCUGUACCAGAAAUAUGAAAAUUAAGCAGGCAUCAUGGUGUGUGUCUGUAAUCCUAGCUACUUGGGAGGCUGAAGUGGGAGGAUGGCUUGAACCCGGGAGGCUGGGGCUGCAGUGAGCCGCGGUCAUGUCACUGCACUCCAGCCUGGGCCACAGAGCGAGAGCCUGUCUCAAAAAUAAAA
Molecule: long non-coding RNA, 1309 nt
Organism: Callithrix jacchus (white-tufted-ear marmoset)
Lineage: Eukaryota; Metazoa; Chordata; Mammalia; Primates; Cebidae
Source: RefSeq, a predicted model, not a curated record